AGCAGCCGCGGUAAAACGAAGGGUGCAAGCGUUAAUCGGAAUUACUGGGCGUAAAGCGUGCGUAGGCGGUGAGUUAAGUCUGCUGUGAAAUCCCCGGGCUCAACCUGGGAAUGGCAGUGGAUACUGGCUCGCUAGAGUGUGUCAGAGGAUGGUGGAAUUCCCGGUGUAGCGGUGAAAUGCGUAGAGAUCGGGAGGAACAUCAGUGGCGAAGGCGGCCAUCUGGGACAACACUGACGCUGAGGCACGAAAGCGUGGGGAGCAAACAGGAUUAGAUACCCCAGUAGUCCCUGUCUCUUAUACA
RNAcentral lists this ribosomal RNA (301 nucleotides) under uncultured bacterium. Its description in RNAcentral is "partial 16S ribosomal RNA". It matches the Rfam family "Bacterial small subunit ribosomal RNA", at positions 510 to 808 of the family's 1533-position model. The record is from RNAcentral.